AGAGGUGCCCGCAUCGCCCAAGCCCCGCGACUCCGGACCUCGGCGGGAUCGGGGGAUGGGAGAGCCGGCGCCUCGGCGCGCUCUAGAUAGGGACCUGCUCCUCGGGGACAAGCCCUUCCGAAACCCACCAGAACCUGCCCCUAGUCAGAGCACUGAAAGUAAACAAGAGCACGGAUCCUGUCUUGGGUCACCUGCCCGUUGGGGAAGGCCUCACUUCAUUCUCCAUCAGGAGACAAGGAGGGAGAAGCUGCCUGGCCUUGGAGUGCACUCAGAUCAGUCAUCCAACGCCUCAAAAUAAAAACUGGUUCCUGUU
Neogale vison (American mink) is the source of this 313-nucleotide long non-coding RNA. RefSeq lists it as uncharacterized. The record is from RefSeq and is a predicted model, not a curated record. The transcript has 2 exons. NCBI's taxonomy places the organism in Eukaryota, Metazoa, Chordata, Mammalia, Carnivora, Mustelidae.